Molecule: ribosomal RNA, 479 nt
Filed under: uncultured bacterium
Lineage: Bacteria
Description: partial 16S ribosomal RNA
Rfam family: Bacterial small subunit ribosomal RNA
Source: RNAcentral
GAUGAACGCUAGCGGGAGGCCUAACACAUGCAAGCCGAGCGGUAUUGUUUCUUCGGAAAUGAGAGAGCGGCGUACGGGUGCGUAACACGUGUGCAACCUGCCUUUAUCUGGGGGAUAGCCUUUCGAAAGGAAGAUUAAUACUCCAUAAUAUAUUGAACGGCAUCGUUUAAUAUUGAAAGCUCCGGCGGAUAGAGAUGGGCACGCACAAGAUUAGCUAGUUGGUGAGGUAACGGCUCACCAAGGCGAUGAUCUUUAGGGGGCCUGAGAGGGUGAUCCCCCACACUGGUACUGAGACACGGACCAGACUCCUACGGGAGGCAGCAGUGAGGAAUAUUGGUCAAUGGGUGCAAGCCUGAACCAGCCAUCCCGCGUGAAGGACGACUGCCCUAUGGGUUGUAAACUUCUUUUGUAUAGGGAUAAACCUACCCUCGUGAGGGUAGCUGAAGGUACUAUACGAAUAAGCACCGGCUAACUCCGUG